GACGAACCGUGCGAACGUUAUUCGGAAUCACUGGGCGUAAAGGGCGCGUAGGCGGCCGGAGGAGUCUGUGGUGAAAGCUCAGGGCUCAACCCUGAGUCGGCCACGGAUACUCUUCGGCUCGAGCACUGUAGAGGCAGAUGGAAUUCCGGGUGUAGCGGUGGAAUGCGUAGAGAUCCGGAAGAACACCGGUGGCGAAGGCGGUCUGCUGGGCAGUGGCUGACGCUGAGGCGCGACAGCGUGGGGAGCAAACAGG
RNAcentral lists this ribosomal RNA (253 nucleotides) under uncultured bacterium. Its description in RNAcentral is "partial 16S ribosomal RNA". It matches the Rfam family "Bacterial small subunit ribosomal RNA", at positions 524 to 776 of the family's 1533-position model. The record is from RNAcentral.